Siniperca chuatsi (mandarin fish) is the source of this 1085-nucleotide long non-coding RNA. RefSeq lists it as uncharacterized. NCBI's taxonomy places the organism in Eukaryota, Metazoa, Chordata, Actinopteri, Centrarchiformes, Sinipercidae. The record is from RefSeq and is a predicted model, not a curated record. The transcript has 2 exons.
GUCCUGAAGCAGCAAAACAGCCCCAGACCAUCACACUACCACCACCAUAUCUUACUGUUGGUGUCUGCAAGAAGCUAGUGGGUCACUUCUCUCACAGCUGGACGGCCAGAGGUGCUCUUGAAAAAGCCCAGAAGGAACACAGUCUACCAUCACAUUCCCUUGUAUCAGAACGCCAAACACGAUGGGGUUCUAGACAGAUGAUGAUUAGCAGGAUACUAGAGCAGUAGAAGGCUUUAACUCAGAUCCUGUCUGGGACAAGAAGGUGCGGCAUCUAAUUCCAAUCUGGCAAGAUAUAGAUGUCCUGAAAUCUGACAACAAGUAUCUAGGCCCACUGCUGGACUUCACAGAUGCGCUCUUAAGGGAAGACUUUAUUAGUGUCUCAUAUGUGAAGCAAGUUCUUCACCUCUUCAACACUUCAUUGCUGCUAAUGCAAGAGGGAAAUGAAGGCCUGACAGGGCUGAAACGAUUCGAGUAACUCGAUUACUAAAAAUCCUCUUUGUUUAACCCAUAUAAUUACAGACAGCGCACUGUGUUUUGCACGGAUGAUUAUUACUGUUGCACAAUGCAUUUACGUUGUGUGUGAUCAGAGAUGGUUCAGAGCGUCUUUGGUGUGAUUUGACAGCGCGGAUUACAAAAAGGAGGAAGAGUGAAAAUAGUGCAGGGCGCAGAGAAGAGAUAGGCCAGAGAAAGCAACAGAAAGUGCCCACGAAAAUUCUUUACAGUGAACCGAACUAGCCUACCACAAUAGCACAACAUCUAUGCUUCAGCAUCUCAGCAGAAAGCAUCCAGUCUACACAUCCAAUCCACAUAGCGGACCCGACACAAGGUACAUGAAGGCUAGUAAAGAAUGUAGGCUACGUUAAUUAUGGCUAUAUGUAAUAGCUAGUUACAUAAAUCAAUAUGGUGGCUAGUUAUGAUGUCACUAAGUUAGUUAGGUUUUGCUCAAGAAAAUAACCAUCGUGGUUAAUUUGUGAAAGCCUGAGCUUCAUUCAUGUUGUUGUUGUCGUUAUGAUGUUCACAUUUCCUGUUGACUCAAAGAAGACCAUAAAGGCUUACAUUAUGCCUGAGCUGUAGUUAGGCUGAAA